AAACCGAAAUUGUGUCUUCUGCCA
This 24-nucleotide non-coding RNA is filed under the name Arabidopsis thaliana (thale cress). The record is from RNAcentral. Lineage: Eukaryota; Viridiplantae; Streptophyta; Magnoliopsida; Brassicales; Brassicaceae.